CGUGGCAGCAUAUACACAUCAAAAUGCUCUUCAUCUGCUCUCUUCAGUCCCAACCUGGAAUCGAAUCGCCUCUUCCCUCCGCUCCAGGAUGGUGAAUCAGGGCGAGUCCAAUAAGCGCAUUGGCCAAGCGGGGGACACCGAGAGAGACCAGAGAUGCUACAACGUCUUCCUCUGCCCCACGAAUUUCCUCGCGACGCCAAAGAUGAGAGCCUUCGUCAGGAGCCCUUGAUCAAGGGUACAAGCCAGAGCCACCGCGCCACCAAGUACAAGGAACCUCGCCACAUUGUUUCUUGCCGGUUUCUCUUCUGCUUCCACGAUUUCUGAUUCCUCGCUGUUGGACUCCAGGGACCGAACAAAGUUGUCACCAACCUUAGUGUUGAUCCGGGCCAUCAAGGCACUCUUUGACGCUGGCUCCCCAGCAGCCCUGGCCUCCUGAUAGGCCCGGAGUCCAGGCUCAAUUUUCUUUACACAUCCCCACAUUCCUUGCCGAAUCCCAAGCUUUGCAAUCUCAUACGGGAUACCCAUGUCCUCAUGGUGGAACAGGAGAAUCUCACAGGCU
RNAcentral lists this long non-coding RNA (559 nucleotides) under Setaria viridis. RNAcentral's name for it is "long non-coding RNA (SVIR_LNC000174)". The record is from RNAcentral. Lineage: Eukaryota; Viridiplantae; Streptophyta; Magnoliopsida; Poales; Poaceae.